Molecule: non-coding RNA, 72 nt
Organism: Holdemania filiformis DSM 12042
Lineage: Bacteria; Bacillati; Bacillota; Erysipelotrichia; Erysipelotrichales; Erysipelotrichaceae
Source: Rfam
UGGGAUGUAGCCAAGCGGUAAGGCUGUGGACUCUGAAUCCACCAUGCAAAGGUUCGAAUCCUUUCAUCCCAG